CUGAAAAACAACCAAAACACAUGAUUAGUAAUACAGAAAUGACUUAAUGUUGAAAUGUUACGCUAUGUAAAAACAUUACAUCUCUGAUUACAUCUAAAAACUCAAUGAAAAGCUGUUAUUUUGAAACAAUCUGUCGGGCAUAGGCAGAAGGUGUGGCGUCAUCUUGUGGCGUCGAAAUACUAGGGCUCGUUCGUUGCCUUGUUGUUGUGGAGCUUAUUUACACUUGGUUACAAAUAGUUUAAACCUCUCAGUAAAAGUUAAGUCUAGGCUACGUUAAAUAUCAGUGGGUGAGAUUUGGACCUGUAGCCUCAACAUGGUUCACUGUUUUGUACCGUGUUGUAAUCAUAAUUCUGGUGGUGUACACGGCUGUAAGUUUUACAGGUUUCCCAACGACAAGACGACGAGGCGAAGAUGGGCCCGUGUCAUAGGGUAAGACGGUGUGAUCGAGCGCCCGCUGACACGUCCAGACUUUGCAGUUGUCAUUUCCCAGAAGGGAAAGAAAGAGGUCCUCUUUGUUUCCUGAACAAAGAUGGGACCAUUUGUACUGACCAUAAAAUACCCAGAUACCGUCCGCCCCGCCCUGUUAAGAAGGAUGUUUGUGCUAUAGAACCAAUCUCACCCGAUGAUAUUCCUCUUGUGGAAUCAGUGUAUGGUGUGGAACGAUUCUUAACCAGUGAUAGUACUCCUGAAGACUCAAUAUGUGAAGUGGAAUCUUUCAUAACCAAUUAUAUCCCUCCUGUAGAGUCAGUUGAUGUUGUAUCACCAGUCUUAACCAAGAUUUGUCCCAGUGUUGCCACUUAAACAUAUAGUCGUGUAAGUUAUGAGCGUAUGGAGAAGAUAUUUCUGGAAGUGGAGCUGAAAGAUGUCAAGGAAGAGCUGAGGCUUCUGAAGCAGAGGCUGGCAUACUCUCAGAGCCGGUACACUGCCUCUCGAUUGAGCAAUGAAGUGGUUAAGAUGGAGACAGGCCUCCCGGAUAAAGACUGUUUUAAUAAAAUUGUUGAAUGUGCCACUAGCUUGGAGGACUCUGUCACCUACCGUGCUGGUUGGAAAGUUCAAAGGCUUAGCACUGAAGAUCAGGUGUUUCUUACUUUCAUGAAAUUAAAACACAAUUAUAAGGACUUUCACCUCGCUGCAAUAUUCAAUUGCAGCAUCUCUAUCAUCAGAAAUGCGGUCCUCACAUGGACUGACAUUCUGCAGGGCCUGCUUCAGGACGACUACACAACUGCACCGAGAGGUUCAAAAGCUCAGAAGAAACAGAAAACUCAUCCACUUAACACUAACUUAUAAAAAGAAUCAACACGCAAUUACAUUUUUUUUACUUCUAAGAACAAAAUAGAAAAAAAUCCCAUGCUGAUAUAGUAAAUUGUAUGUUAAAUUAUUUUGUAUUUCACCAUAAUAUAGACAUUGCUCAAAUUAACUAGGGUGGUCAUUUGAUCACAAAACAACACUGUCACAUUUCACUUUGUGUAAUUAAAAUACAAAAUAAAUGGUAAGAUUCUG
This is a long non-coding RNA of Clupea harengus (Atlantic herring), 1500 nucleotides long. RefSeq lists it as uncharacterized. NCBI's taxonomy places the organism in Eukaryota, Metazoa, Chordata, Actinopteri, Clupeiformes, Clupeidae. The transcript is spliced from 2 exons. The record is from RefSeq and is a predicted model, not a curated record.